This is a long non-coding RNA of Oncorhynchus nerka (sockeye salmon), 1757 nucleotides long. RefSeq lists it as uncharacterized. The transcript is spliced from 3 exons. Lineage: Eukaryota; Metazoa; Chordata; Actinopteri; Salmoniformes; Salmonidae. The record is from RefSeq and is a predicted model, not a curated record.
UGCAGCCAAGGUCUGAGUGGUCAGAAAAAGCAACACAAGGUUGAAGAAGACAAAGGAACCUUUUAACAACCUAUGCUAUGGAUGAGUAGCUGUAUCUAAAGGGGAUUAAUUCAAGCAGGACCACCCGGUCACCACUCUCCAAGGAAAAGUGUGUCUACACUGUUUUGCUUCCCAUACUGGAACCAUCCACACGGCUGAUUAGCCCUCCUCCGAAAACCCCUUUUCAGAGCAAGGGCGAGGAACCAGACCACUAAGAGAAAGGACACUGGCGUUGUGAGGAGAAACAAAGAGUUACACCCGGUAACCGAAGACGGACCUUCAUCAGAGAAGUCGGAAUCCGGUCUACGCAGACACACACAUUGGAGACCUUCAACAUUACAAACUUCGAAGCCUUCAGCACCAUGGACAAGGCCUCCUCCACCAGCCUGCGCAGUGCCACAGACAGAGCAGAGGACCUGAGCCCUAGGGCAAUGCCUCAGGAAUACCUGGCCUGAUAACUCCUGGCUGUCCCCGUCCCUGGUCCACCUGGUCGUGCCUUUGACCCAGCUUCUGCUGUUCUGCCUGCGGCCAUGGAACCCCGAGCUGUUCACCCUCAACACCCCACACAUGCUGUCACAUAACUGACAUUAACUCCCAAGGUGCUGACCUCUUGCACCCUCUACAACCACUAUGAUUAUUAUUUGACCCAGUGGUCUUCUAUGAACAUUUGAACAUCUUGAAGAACGAUCUAGCCUUAAUGACCAAGUACUCUUAUAAUCUCCACAGGCUGGCCACCCCUCAGAGCCUGGUUACUCUAUGUCUCCUCCUAGGUUCCUUCCUUUCAAAGGAGUUUUUCCGCACCAUGGUGCCUCUACAUCUGCAUUGCUUGCUCUCUGGGGUUUAAGGCUUGGUUUCUGUAUAAGCACUUUGUGCCAAUUCCUGUAAAAAGGGCUCUAUAAAUACAUUUGAUUGAUUAAAAUACAAAGCCCUCACCUCAAUGAAUUUCAUUCAUGAAUUAUUCCCGAUUACAGUAGCAUUUCAUUUCUUACCAUAUUUAUAUUACAGCAGGCGUACUGUAAUAUGAAAUAAAGAAUUGUACUUGCCACGAGCUGCCUGUCAAAUUCAUGGCAAUCUCUUUACAGUGUAAGCUUCCUCUGUUACAUGUCAGCUGGCUGAAGUGGUACAUAGCAGAACAGGAUAUUAUCAGGUAUCAAGGUAAGACCCAAGUGCAGACUGUGAAGUAACAAUGUUUAUUGUAACUGUCAGGAUUUGGCCAGGGUUGUUCCGGUUUUUGGUCACUAGAUGCCCCCAUUGUGCCUUUUGACCUUUUGUUUUCCCUUGAUCCCCAUUAUUAUUUGCACCUGUGCCUCGUUUCCCCUGAUUGUAUUUAAACCCUUUGUUUUCCUCAGUCCUUUGCUCUGUGUUUGUAUGUUAGCACCCAGCCCUAGUAUUCUGUUAACUCUUGUUGAUCCCGGUGGACGCUCUUGUGGAAUUCUGUUUUUUGUUCUUGUUUAUUUAUUUUUGAGUAUCUUUUGAGGCUUUUUGUGCUAUACCUACCACCUUGUGGAUUUACCUUUUUUUGUCUUGGAGGAUUACCUUUGUUCUUGUGGAAUUCCUUUUGAGGUUGUGGAGUUACAUGUGUUCCUGAAGGACUUCACUUUUUACUACAUUAAAUACACCGUCUCAAGUACUGCUGUGUCUGCCUCAUCUUCUGGGUUCUGCCGACUAUUCGUGGCUCAGUUGGUUAAGUGACUGUUUCUCACUCCGGAGACCCGGGU